This 480-nucleotide ribosomal RNA is filed under the name uncultured bacterium. RNAcentral's name for it is "partial 16S ribosomal RNA". It matches the Rfam family "Bacterial small subunit ribosomal RNA", at positions 28 to 506 of the family's 1533-position model. The record is from RNAcentral.
GAUGAACGCUGGCGGCGUGCUUAACACAUGCAAGUCGAACGAAGCACUUUAUUUGAUUUCCUUCGGGACUGAUUAUUUUGUGACUGAGUGGCGGACGGGUGAGUAACGCGUGGGUAACCUGCCUUGUACAGGGGGAUAACAGUUGGAAACGGCUGCUAAUACCGCAUAAGCGCACAGCAUCGCAUGAUGCAGUGUGAAAAACUCCGGUGGUAUAAGAUGGACCCGCGUUGGAUUAGCUAGUUGGUGAGGUAACGGCCCACCAAGGCGACGAUCCAUAGCCGAACUGAGAGGGUGACCGGCCACAUUGGGACUGAGACACGGCCCAAACUCCUACGGGAGGCAGCAGUGGGGAAUAUUGCACAAUGGGCGAAAGCCUGAUGCAGCGAGGCCGCGUGAGCGAAGAAGUAUUUCGGUAUGUAAAGCUCUAGCAGCAGGGAAGAUAAUGACGGUACCUGACUAAGAAGCACCGGCUAAAUACGU